UUGGGGUCAAUCUUGAUGCUUUUUUGGGGCUGGGUUGAUGCUGUUUUGGGAGCUGAUAUUUAGGGUGAUUUGAUGGCUUUUUAGGGCUGGUUUUGGGUCAGAUUUUGAUGUUUUUGGGGCUGGUUUUUGAUGCUGUUUUGGGGUCGAUUUGAUUGCUUUUUAGGCUGGUUUUGGGUCGAAUUUGAUGCCUGUUUGGGUCUUUUUGGGGCCAUUUUGAUUGCCUGUUUCUUGGGCUGGUUUUGAUGCUGUUUUGUGGGGGGUCUUUUUUGGGGUCGCAUUGUUGAGCUUUUGUAGGGUCUGGGUUUUGGGUCAUUUUUAGGCUGUUUGGGGGUUCAUUGUAGGGCUAGUUGUUGGGGUCACUUUAAUGCAUGUUUGGGGGUUGAUUUUGGGGUCGUUUUGAUGCAUUUUGGGCUGGUUUUGGGGCCAUUUUGAGGCCGAUUUUGGGGUCAGUUUGAUGCUUUUUAGGUCUGGUUUUGGGGUGUUUUUGGGUGGAUUUGGGGUCGUUUUGAUGCUGGUUUUGGGGUCAAUUUGAUGCUUUUUGGGGCUGGUUUUGGGGUCGUUUUGAUGCUUUUUAGGGCUGGUUUUGGGGCCAUUUGAGUGUGGCCGGAUCUUAUGGGUGGGUGCGAGUGGUGUUGAUGCUUGUUGUGAGGGCUGGGGUUGUUGAGGGGUGGUGGGUGUUGUUGGGUGGAUUUGGGGGUUGUUUGAUGCUGGUAUUGGGGGUCAAUUUGGGGGGGUUGCUUUUUGGGGCUGAUUUUGGUGUAGAUUUGAUGCUUUUUGGGGCUGGUUUUGAUGCUGUUUUGGGGUCGAUUUGAUGCUUUUUAGGGCUGGUUUUGGGGUCAAUUUGAUGCUUUUUGGGGUCUUUUUGGGGUCAUUUUGAUGCUUUUUAGGGCUGGUUUUGGGGUCAUUUUAGGCU
RNAcentral lists this long non-coding RNA (913 nucleotides) under Coturnix japonica (Japanese quail). RNAcentral describes it as "lncRNA (ENSCJPG00005000465.1)". The record is from RNAcentral. Lineage: Eukaryota; Metazoa; Chordata; Aves; Galliformes; Phasianidae.